GGCCGAGUGGUUAAGGCGUUGGACUCG
Molecule: non-coding RNA, 27 nt
Filed under: Cricetulus griseus (Chinese hamster)
Lineage: Eukaryota; Metazoa; Chordata; Mammalia; Rodentia; Cricetidae
Source: RNAcentral